This 332-nucleotide unclassified non-coding RNA is filed under the name soil metagenome. RNAcentral describes it as "partial contains 5.8S ribosomal RNA, internal transcribed spacer 2, and large subunit ribosomal RNA". The stretch from base 1 to 120 matches the Rfam family "5.8S ribosomal RNA", at positions 35 to 154 of the family's 154-position model. The record is from RNAcentral.
GAUGAAGAACGUAGCGAAAUGCGAUAAGUAGUGUGAAUUGCAGAAUUCAGUGAAUCAUCGAAUCUUUGAACGCACAUUGCGCCCUUUGGUAUUCCUUAGGGCAUGCCUGUUCGAGCGUCAUUUAAACCUUCAAGCUAAGCUUGGUGUUGGGUGACUGUCCGCUUCACUGCGGACUCGCCUCAAAAUUAUUGGCGGCCGGUACAUUGGCUUCGAGCGCAGCAGAAACGCGAACUCGGGCCCGUCGUAUUGGCUCCCAGAAGCUAUCUUCACAAUCUUGAACUCGGAUCAGGCAGGGAUACCCGCUGAACUUAAGCAUAUCAAUAAGCGGAGGA